GCUGGGCGUGGUGGCGCAUGCCUGUAGUCCCAGGUACUUGGGAGGCUGAGGCAGGAGAAUUGCUUGAACCCAGGAGGUGGAGGUUGCAGUGAGCUGAGAUCCACUGCACUCCAGCCUGGGCGAUAGAGCAAGACUCUGUCUCAA
RNAcentral lists this non-coding RNA (144 nucleotides) under Pan troglodytes (chimpanzee). Lineage: Eukaryota; Metazoa; Chordata; Mammalia; Primates; Hominidae. The record is from Rfam by way of RNAcentral.